RNAcentral lists this ribosomal RNA (1073 nucleotides) under human gut metagenome. RNAcentral's name for it is "bacterial LSU rRNA". It matches the Rfam family "Bacterial large subunit ribosomal RNA", at positions 1177 to 2296 of the family's 2925-position model. The record is from RNAcentral.
GGGGCUAAGCUAUACACCGAAAUUGCGGAUUUAUAUUUGAAAGACAAUGUAAGUGGUAGAGGAGCAUUCUGUAGUAGGAAGAAGCAUGACCGUAAGGACAUGUGGACGAAGCAGAAGAGAGAAUGCUGGAAUAAGUAGCGAGAGGAUGGUGAGAAUCCAUCCCGUCGAAAAUCUAAGGUUUCCCAGGGAAGGUUCGUCCGCCUGGGGUAAGUCGGGACCUAAGGAGAGGCCGAAAGGCGUAUCUGAUGGACAGCAGGUUGAAAUUCCUGCACUACGAAUAUACUUAAAAGAUUCAAGGGACGCAGAAGUGGAAGAUAACCAAGUAAGAGGAAAAGCUUGGCUCGCAAGAGGGAGUGAAAAUUAAAAGUAACGAAGUAUCAAGAAGCACGCUGACGAGAAAAGCUUGAAGAUAUUGUAUAUAAGUACCCGUACCGCAAACCGACACAGGUAGAUGAGGAGAGGAUCCUAAGACGAGCGGGAGAAGCAUUGUUAAGGAACUCGGCAAACUAACCCCGUAACUUCGGAAUAAGGGGUGCUGAUGUAACAGUCAGUCGCAGAGAAAAGGCCCAAGCAACUGUUUAACAAAAACAUAGGUUUCUGCUAAAUCGAAAGAUGAAGUAUAGGAGCUGACGCCUGCCCAGUGCUGGAAGGUUAAGGGGAAGAGUUAGGGUUAAACCGAAGCUUAGAACUGAAGCCCCAGUGAACGGCGGCCGUAACUAUAACGGUCCUAAGGUAGCGAAAUUCCUUGUCAGGUAAGUUCUGACCCGCACGAAAGGCGUAAUGAUUUGGGCGCUGUCUCGACAAUGUCCCCGGCGAAAUUGUAGUACUAGUGAAGAUGCUAGUUACCUGCGAUAAGACAGAAAGACCCCAUGGAGCUUUACUGCAGUUUGAUACUGGGUUUCGAUGAUUUAUGUACAGGAUAGUUGGGAGACUAUGAAAGAGAGGCGUCAGCUUCUCCGGAGUCGUUGUUGGGAUACCAACCUUAAGUUAUUGAAAUUCUAACUUGUAAUCGUAAACCGGUUAGAGGACAAUGUCAGACGGGCAGUUUGACUGGGGCGGUCGCCUCCUAAAGA